Molecule: transfer RNA, 71 nt
Filed under: Bos taurus (domestic cattle)
Lineage: Eukaryota; Metazoa; Chordata; Mammalia; Artiodactyla; Bovidae
Also listed under: 1 other name
Rfam family: tRNA
About the family: Transfer RNA (tRNA) molecules are approximately 80 nucleotides in length. Their secondary structure includes four short double-helical elements and three loops (D, anti-codon, and T loops).
Source: Rfam by way of RNAcentral
UCCCCGAUGGUCCAGUGGUUGAUUCCGCAUUUCCACUGCAGUGGGUGUGGGUUCAAUCCCCAGUUGGGGAA